RNAcentral lists this ribosomal RNA (642 nucleotides) under uncultured bacterium. Its description in RNAcentral is "bacterial SSU rRNA". It matches the Rfam family "Bacterial small subunit ribosomal RNA", at positions 56 to 669 of the family's 1533-position model. The record is from RNAcentral.
UGCAGUCGACGGAGAAUUUCAAUAAGUUUACUUAGAGAAAUUUUUAGUGGCGGACGGGUGAGUAACGCGUGGGUAACCUACCCAUAAAGCCGGGACAACCCUUGGAAACGAGGGCUAAUACCGGAUAAUCUUAAGCUUUGGCAUCAAAGUUUAAGGAAAGGUGGCCUCUGAGUAUGCUACCGAUUAUGGAUGGACCCGCGUCUGAUUAGCUAGUUGGUGGGGUAAAGGCCUACCAAGGCGACGAUCAGUAGCCGGCCUGAGAGGGUGAACGGCCACACUGGGACUGAGACACGGCCCAGACUCCUACGGGAGGCAGCAGUGGGGAAUCUUCCGCAAUGGACGAAAGUCUGACGGAGCAACGCCGCGUGUAUGAUGAAGGUCUUCGGAUUGUAAAGUACUGUCUUUGGGGAAGAAUGACUGGUUUGAAAAUAUUGAGCCAGUAUGACGGUACCCAAGGAGGAAGCCCCGGCUAACUACGUGCCAGCAGCCGCGGUAAUACGUAGGGGGCAAGCGUUGUCCGGAAUUAUUGGGCGUAAAGGGCGCGUAGGCGGAUGUUUAAGUCCGGUGUGAAAGAUCAGGGCUCAACCCUGAGAGUGCAUCGGAAACUGGGCAUCUUGAGGACAGGAGAGGAAAGUGGAAUUC